Molecule: long non-coding RNA, 271 nt
Organism: Hibiscus syriacus
Lineage: Eukaryota; Viridiplantae; Streptophyta; Magnoliopsida; Malvales; Malvaceae
Exons: 3
Source: RefSeq, a predicted model, not a curated record
CUACCACUAGUGUAUGCGUAGAUUGGAAACAUGAUAAUCUGAGCUUGGGCAAUUCCUGGGUUGCCAUUGGUGAAUCCGGUCAUGCUUGCAUGGUUUGUUUCAUUUGAGCAGAUCACCCUAGAAUGGUCAAAUGGAGGAAGUGCUCUAGAGAACGGAGUUUGGUUGUUCACACUAGGUGUGGAGUUCUGCUGAUUGUUUGGUAGGGACGCAGGAGGAUUCCUGGUAGUGUCUGGAAUUACUUGAAGAACCAAGAUAAUUCAAGGUCCCUGAU